GACCCAUAGACACAGUUUGACUGGCUGCCCCACUCUCCUGCCAUCAGAUCUUCCCUGCUGUGCUGAACUGUUUACCUUCAAACUGUGAGCCAAGAAAAGAAAAGGAAGACACCAGUAAUAGCACCAGAUAAUAAUUGCCCAAGAUCUUGAAGCUUCUGAGUGAGAGGUACAUUUCCGAAAACGUUGGGGAAACCUCAACUAAUGCCUGUGGAAGGAAUAACCAGUGGACAGAAACUCAGGUAGAAAAAUCACAGGAAGGAAAACAAAGACUCCAUUGCAAGUUUGAACAAAAUGUUGGAAUCAACUAGUUUGAGUAGAACAUGAAAUGUAACCAGCUUGUACACUGGUAAAUACUGUGACCCUUGUAAAAUGAAGUGGCAAGACACAAUGUGAUGGUUUGAAUGAGAAUGAUCCCCCUAGACUUACACAUUUGAA
Molecule: long non-coding RNA, 435 nt
Organism: Peromyscus californicus insignis
Lineage: Eukaryota; Metazoa; Chordata; Mammalia; Rodentia; Cricetidae
Exons: 3
Source: RefSeq, a predicted model, not a curated record